GUCGUACGAGAAAGUCGGCUUCGGCCGAUGAGUACAGUGGCGCACGGGUGAGUAGCGCGUGGGUAAUCUGCCCCCCGGUCAGGAAUAACCCGCCGAAAGGCGGGCUAAUACCCGAUAACACUGACGCUCCGCGGAGCGUCUUUCAAAGAAGGCCUCUGUUUACAAGCUUUCGCCGGAGGAUGAGCCCGCGUACCAUUAGCUAGUUGGCAGGGUAAUGGCCUACCAAGGCUACGAUGGUUAGCUGGUCUGAGAGGAUGGCCAGCCACACUGGAACUGAGACACGGUCCAGACUCCUACGGGAGGCAGCAGUGAGGAAUCUUGCGCAAUGGGGGAAACCCUGACGCAGCAACGCCGCGUGAGUGAGGAAGGCCUUCGGGUCGUAAAGCUCUGUCAGAUGGGAAGAAAUGGAUGGGGGCUAAUAUCGCCCAUCCUUGACGGUACCAUCAGAGGAAGCACCGGCUAACUCCGUGCCAGCAGCCGCGGUAAUACGGGGGGUGCGAGCGUUGUUCGGAAUCAUUGGGCGUAAAGAGCGCGCAGGCGGCUUGGUGAGUCAGAUGUGAAAGCCCUGGGCUUAACCCAGGAAGUGCAUUUGAUACUGCCUCGCUAGAGUACGGGAGAGGAAAGUGGAAUUCCUGGUGUAGAGGUGAAAUUCGUAGAUAUCA
RNAcentral lists this ribosomal RNA (662 nucleotides) under uncultured bacterium. Its description in RNAcentral is "bacterial SSU rRNA". It matches the Rfam family "Bacterial small subunit ribosomal RNA", at positions 61 to 699 of the family's 1533-position model. The record is from RNAcentral.